Molecule: ribosomal RNA, 607 nt
Filed under: Neoprotoparmelia multifera
Lineage: Eukaryota; Fungi; Ascomycota; Lecanoromycetes; Lecanorales; Parmeliaceae
Description: SSU rRNA
Rfam family: Bacterial small subunit ribosomal RNA
Source: RNAcentral
CAACUUGGAGGAAUGUAUAGCAAUAGCUAAUUUGCACCAACAAACAGUUGAUGCAAUAUCGACUAUGUCGAAUAAAAUUUCUAGGUAUAGUUAUGAUAAUGACAUUUUAUGCCUAUGUGUCUUGACCAAAUUACGUGCCAGCAGUCGCGGUAAUACGUAGAAGACUAGUGUUAUUCAUCUUUAAUAGGUUUAAAGGGUACCUAGACGGUAAAUCAAGCCUUAACACAAGGGACUAUUUUACUAGAGUUACAUGUGAGGGGGUUCUAAGGUACUGCUGGUGGAGAGAUGAAAUUCUGUCAUACCUCUUAGAGAGAAGAAUCACGGCACAGGUAUAGGCGAAAGCAUCCCCUUAUGCAAUAACUGACGUUGAGGGACGAAGGCUUUUGUAGCGAACAGGAUUAGUUACCCCAGUAGUCCAAGCAGAAAAUGAUGAAUGUCAUAGAUUAGAUAAUAAGAUUUCUUCUAUAAAUGAAAGUGUAAGCAUUCCACCUCAAGAGUAAUUUGGCAACAUUGGAACUGAAAUCAUUAGACCGUUUCUGAAACCAGUAGUGAAGUAUGUUGUUUAAUUUGAUAAUCCGCAAAAAACCUUACCACAAUUUGAAUAUUU